RNAcentral lists this transfer RNA (69 nucleotides) under Ictidomys tridecemlineatus (thirteen-lined ground squirrel). RNAcentral describes it as "Spermophilus tridecemlineatus (thirteen-lined ground squirrel) tRNA". It matches the Rfam family "tRNA". From Rfam's summary of the family: Transfer RNA (tRNA) molecules are approximately 80 nucleotides in length. The record is from Rfam by way of RNAcentral. Lineage: Eukaryota; Metazoa; Chordata; Mammalia; Rodentia; Sciuridae.
GGGGCUGUGGCUCAGAGGUAGAGUGCUCGUCUACCGUGCGUGAAGCACUGGGUUCGAUCCUCAGCACCA